RNAcentral lists this ribosomal RNA (274 nucleotides) under uncultured bacterium. RNAcentral describes it as "partial 16S ribosomal RNA". It matches the Rfam family "Bacterial small subunit ribosomal RNA", at positions 523 to 796 of the family's 1533-position model. The record is from RNAcentral.
AUACGGAGGGUCCAAGCGUUAUCCGGAUUCAUUGGGUUUAAAGGGUCCGCAGGCGGGAAAAUAAGUCAGUGGUGAAAGCCUACAGCUCAACUGUAGAACUGCCAUUGAUACUGUUUUUCUUGAGUAUAGAUGAAGUGGGCGGAAUAUAUCAUGUAGCGGUGAAAUGCAUAGAUAUGAUAUAGGACACCGAUUGCGAAGGCAGCUCACUAAACUAUUACUGACGCUCAGGGACGAAAGCGUGGGGAGCGAACAGGAUUAGAUACCCGAGUAGUCC